UACGAAGGGGCUAGCGUUGCUCGGAAUUACUGGGCGUAAAGCGCACGUAGGCGGCUUCUUAAGUCGGUGGUGAAAUCCUGGAGCUCAACUCCAGAACUGCCUUCGAUACUGGGAGCUCGAGUCCGGGAGAGGUGAGUGGAACUGCGAGUGUAGAGGUGAAAUUCGUAGAUAUUCGCAAGAACACCAGUGGCGAAGGCGGCUCACUGGCCCGGUACUGACGCUGAGGUGCGAAAGCGUGGGGAGCAAACAGG
Molecule: ribosomal RNA, 251 nt
Filed under: uncultured bacterium
Lineage: Bacteria
Description: partial 16S ribosomal RNA
Rfam family: Bacterial small subunit ribosomal RNA
Source: RNAcentral